GGAAGUAAAAGUCGAAACAAGGUUUCCGUAGGUGAACCUGCGGAAGGAUCAUUAUUGUAUAACCGAGGUGCGAGGGCUGUCGCUGACCCGAAAGGUCGUGCACGCCCGAGUGCCCUCACACACAUCCAUCUCACCCCUAUGUGCACCACCGCGUGGGUCCCCCUUUGGCUUGUUCGGAGGGGGGCUUACGUUUUCACACAAACUUUGUAUGCAGUGUAGAAUGUAUUUUUUGUUUUUGCGAUCACGCAAUCAAUACAACUUUCAACAACGGAUCUCUUGGCUCUC
This 285-nucleotide unclassified non-coding RNA is filed under the name plant metagenome. Its description in RNAcentral is "partial contains small subunit ribosomal RNA, internal transcribed spacer 1, and 5.8S ribosomal RNA". The stretch from base 1 to 54 matches the Rfam family "Eukaryotic small subunit ribosomal RNA", at positions 1778 to 1831 of the family's 1831-position model. The record is from RNAcentral.